GGAAACGAUAGCUAAUACCGCAUAAAAGACGAUAUCGCAUGAUGUUGAUUUGAAAGGUGCAAUUGCAUCACUAAGAGAUGGACCUGCAUUGUAUUAGCUAGUUGGUGAGGUAACGGCUCACCAAGGCGACGAUACAUAGCCGACCUGAGAGGGUGAUCGGCCACACUGGGACUGAGACACGGCCCAG
RNAcentral lists this ribosomal RNA (187 nucleotides) under uncultured Streptococcaceae bacterium. RNAcentral describes it as "partial 16S ribosomal RNA". It matches the Rfam family "Bacterial small subunit ribosomal RNA", at positions 152 to 334 of the family's 1533-position model. Lineage: Bacteria; Bacillati; Bacillota; Bacilli; Lactobacillales; Streptococcaceae. The record is from RNAcentral.